UACUUUGAAAUCCAUACUCUCAGAUGGUAGUGUAGCUAUGGCCGCUCUUAUUCCCACGGCAAGGCCUUUACCACUGCAGGAUCAUCUUCCAGUUACUAUUAUCCACUGGCGGGGGUCGUAAAGCCAAGUUAUUUUUACCCACUGGCUGGGGUCGUAUGCCUAGUUACUGUUACCCACUGGCGGGGGUCAUACAUAGCAAUCUGAGAGUUCUUUAAAACAUAUCAUACUUUUCAUAAAUCUUUUCUCAUCAAU
This 252-nucleotide long non-coding RNA is filed under the name Phoenix dactylifera (date palm). RNAcentral describes it as "long non-coding RNA (PDAC_LNC016342)". The record is from RNAcentral. Lineage: Eukaryota; Viridiplantae; Streptophyta; Magnoliopsida; Arecales; Arecaceae.